UCUAAUACUGGAUACGACGGCGCAUCGCAUGGUGUGUUGUGGAAAGGGUUUUACUGGUUUUGGAUGGGCUCACGGCCUAUCAGCUUGUUGGUGGGGUAAUGGCUCACCAAGGCGACGACGGGUAGCCGGCCUGAGAGGGUGACCGGCCACACUGGGACUGAGACACGGCCCAGACUCCUACGGGAGGCAGCAGUGGGGAAUAUUGCACAAUGGGCGGAAGCCUGAUGCAGCGACGCCGCGUGAGGGAUGACGGCCUUCGGGUUGUAAACCUCUUUCAGCACGGAAGAAGCGAGAGUGACGGUACGUGCAGAAGAAGCGCCGGCUAACUACGUGCCAGCAGCCGCGGUAAUACGUAGGGCGCAAGCGUUGUCCGGAAUUAUUGGGCGUAAAGAGCUCGUAGGCGGUUUGUCGCGUCUGCUGUGAAAGCCCGGGGCUUAACCCCGGGUGUGCAGUGGGUACGGGCAGACUUGAGUGCAGUAGGGGAGACUGGAAUUCCUGGUGUAGCGGUGAAAUGCGCAGAUAUCAGGAGGAACACCGAUGGCGAAGGCAGGUCUCUGGGCUGUUACUGACGCUGAGGAGCGAAAGCAUGGGGAGCGAACAGGAUUAGAUACCCUGGUAGUCCAUGCCGUAAACGUUGGGCACUAGGUGUGGGGAACAUUCCACGUUUUCCGCGCCGUAGCUAACGCAUUAAGUGCCCCGCCUGGGGAGUACGGCCGCAAGGCUAAAACUCAAAGGAAUUGACGGGGGCCCGCACAAGCGGCGGAGCAUGCGGAUUAAUUCGAUGCAACGCGAAGAACCUUACCAAGGCUUGACAUACACCGGACCGGGCCAGAGAUGGUCUUUCCCCCUUGUGGGGCUGGUGUACAGGUGGUGCAUGGUUGUCGUCAGCUCGUGUCGUGAGAUGUUGGGUUAAGUCCCGCAACGAGCGCAACCCUCGUUCUAUGUUGCCAGCACGUGAUGGUGGGGACUCAUAGGAGACUGCCGGGGUCAACUCGGAGGAAGGUGGGGAUGACGUCAAAUCAUCAUGCCCCUUAUGUCUUGGGCUUCACGCAUGCUACAAUGGCCAGUACAAUGGGUUGCGAUGCCGUGAGGUGGAGCUAAUCCCAAAAAGCUGGUCUCAGUUCGGAUCGUGGUCUGCAACUCGACCACGUGAAGUCGGAGUCGCUAGUAAUCGCAGAUCAGCAACGCUGCGGUGAAU
Molecule: ribosomal RNA, 1198 nt
Filed under: Kocuria sp. BYNT1-5
Lineage: Bacteria; Bacillati; Actinomycetota; Actinomycetes; Micrococcales; Micrococcaceae
Description: bacterial SSU rRNA
Rfam family: Bacterial small subunit ribosomal RNA
Source: RNAcentral